GCUGCGCCAGCGCGUCCAGGCGCGCCGCGUCGUCGGCCAGGGGCCGGCGCAGGCCGACCUGGUCGCCCUUGGCCAGGCAGGUCGUAGCCGCCGUGCACCGCCA
RNAcentral lists this transfer RNA (103 nucleotides) under Bordetella pertussis. Its description in RNAcentral is "tRNA-Pro(agg)". Lineage: Bacteria; Pseudomonadati; Pseudomonadota; Betaproteobacteria; Burkholderiales; Alcaligenaceae. The record is from RNAcentral.